UUUUUGUUUUUUUUUCUGAAUGAGAAUAUGAACCAAAAAUAUGGGACAACACAUUAACCAUUCUUAGACUGCAGUACUUGAGAAUAACAUCAUAAAUAAGGAAUGAAGAAAAAAAAAAGUUAGCCAUGGCAAGUGUUUGCAUGACGUUUCUGUUUCUUUAUUCAAGGCAAAAUGCAACAGAGAGCAUGAAAAGAAAAACUACUAAUAAGGAAUCAUCCAACUCUACACUAGGCACCACCACAAACGUAGUUACAACUUUACACACACGAUUAGCACUGUUGUAAUCUAUUUUUGGAUUUCUAUUUUUUGAAUAUUUUUUGAGAAAAUUAGAAAAAUCCAAAAAAUAUGUCUUUUCAAUAAUUUUAGCUAUUUUAAUCAUUUUGUUAUUUUUUCAUUUCUAUUAAUUUUUUGGGAGUCCAAACAUCUUGAAGAUCAUAAAAAAAAUACAAAAUGCAAAAAUACAAUAAACAAUUAAAAAUAAUACAAAAACAGCCGGGGUUUGAAAUUGGGUCAAUAAUCGAGUGUCACGAGUAAAAAUUUGAGUUUGGGAAUUUUUGUUUGAGAAUCAAGGAUGAAUUUGCAGCAAGUGAUUAAAUUUAGAGGUCUAGAUUGAUCAAAUUAAGGGUGUAAUUGAAUAGAAAAUAGGGAUUUAUGACAAAAUUCAGUUGAAACCACAAGAGAUUAAGAAACAAGGACUAAAUUAAAGAGACUAAAAUGGAAAGAUUUGAUUUAGGGAUUAAAUUGAGAGAGAAUUCCUGAUUUAAAGCCCUAAUAGAAUUAAAUUGAAAAAAAUUCAAAAAUCAAGGACUGUAAUGAAAAGAGGGAAAUAUUCCAAGAACCACUUGACUAUUUAAAUAAUUUCACUUCAGUCCUAGUUGUUUCUUUCUAAUCAUUUCAGUCCAAUUAAAUACCAAUUUAAUCUAAUUUUUCAAUUAAUUCAAUUCAACCCAAUUUAAUCCACCAAUUAAUUCAUUCUCCACAGGUUGGAGAGAACUUGUCUUCGAGAAUUUGUCAACAACAACUAAAAUAGAAUACAUAGCUUGUUGUAUACAAGGUAAGCCCAACUACAUCAUUAAUCAUUAAUGAUGUAGUUGAGUUUGUGAGAACGGGUGAUUCUGAGCAAUCAGGUGUGAGUCGGCCACAACUGAUAUUUUACUUAGUGUCUGUGUAAGAGGAACAAUGCUUAGUGUCUGUGUAAGAGGAACAAUGCUUGAAAAACAUGCUUUCUACUUGAUAUUUUACUUACAAACAAAUCAUGUGAAAAUAUUAAAUUUCAAUAAACUACUCUGCCAAUACAAGAGAUACCAAGAAUAGUAGUUUUGCAUGAAUAUUAAUUUAUUCCUUUAUAAUAAGAAAAGAAAUAUUUAAUUGAUUUAAUUAGCAGAUUCAAACAUUUAUUUUGAACAUAUUCAUAUCAAAACCCCUAAAUUAUCAUAAACUCUAAUAUUUUUAAUAAUUAAUUAUAAAAGAAUAAAACUAAAAUUAGACAAUGAAACAAAUAAAAAAGAUAAAGAAAAUUUACUUAAAGCAUAAAGCAAAAAACAAAAGAGGUUAAUUGUUUAAUUGUACUUGAAGAGAAAUUUGUAUAAGGAAGAGAGGUAGGGAACAACAGCUAAAAAAAAAAAAAAAAACCUCUCGGAUAGUUAGGAAAAGAAAAAGAAAGAAAAGAAAAAAAAUAUGAGAUAAUGAGCUGGACAUAUAUAUUAUAUAUUAUAUUAAGAUAUAAGUUACCAAUAAUAACUUUCUUUCAUUUAUCAACUAUUUACAAAACUAUUAUAUUAAUAUUUUAAAAUAAAAAAACAAUUAAGGGGGCAAUUGCGCCCCCUUCUCCGCCACUGGUGUUAGCUAAUAUUAGGAACAAUAAUAAUUUUGAUGAAACUAUAAUUACAAAAAUGGAUAGAAGAAGACGCCGAAAACCCACAUAUAAAACGACUAAGUCAAGAGUUUCAUUAACAAGCCAUAUUUAUUUGGCAAUUAGAGAGUUUCUGUCAAUGACUGAGGUGGCGGAUAAGGAAGGUGCUUUCUAAUUAAAUUGCUGACCAAAUCUUAAUUAAAAAUUAAGGAUUUUAACUUGAAGGGGUUGAAUUAAUGGUUAAGACAGUUUGCUCACUUCCCUGAUUAAUUUAGUGGAUUCAAACACUGGAGAUAUUUUAUAUAUUAAUUUUCUCUAAAAGUACCAAAUCUAUGUGAGGGGAUGCAUCCUUAAAAUCGGUAAAAAAAAAAAAAAAACCUAACUGGUAAGAAAGUUACAUAAUGCAUGGUCAAUUAUAUUACUCUAUGUUGAAAUGAUCAUGAAGUACAUUAUUUUAGGUUUCCAAGUAAGAAUAACAAUGAGUCUCCCUUCCAUCAUAUUCUACUGUAUCCAUUCAAUUAUUUAUUAUCCUAAAGUACUAUUUAUAUUUUUUAAAUCUAAUUUAAUAAGUUCAUACUUCAAUGUUAAUACAACACAUGCACACACACACACAUAUGGUAAGAAGUCCUGAAAGCAUUCUACUAUGAUCUAAUUAAUGUUGGCUUGUAUAUAUAGUUUUUGCUCUUGUAUUCCUGCCUUUGAUUUUGCUAUGUUUCUUUCUCCCUUGUUCAGAACUCUUUUUACCUACCACCUAGCUUGCCAUUAACUUAUUAGUAAUCUGCUUCUCUUUUACUAAAAUUUGGAUCAGUAUGCAUUGAAUUCAAGUUAACUUCCAUUCGUGUCUCAAAGUUCUUGGGUUUGAAAAAAAAGAAAAAAAGAAUGUACAAUAACUUUAUAUAGUAAUAUUAAUUUCUUCUCGGGAAUGGAGAUGAUCAUUAACAAUUUCUAAUCUUGCUGUAAAAAAUCAAAAAUUAUAUCAAGAAACUUUACAUUUCUUAGAACAACAAAACUUACUUAUUCAAAGAAUUUAAUUAUUGGCCAGUUUGAGCAAUUAAUUUGGAUCAAUGUACCAAAUUUUAUGAAGUAAUUAACUUGGAUUUAUAUUUAAUCUAGUUCGGUGACUUUGAUUAUUAGCUUGUUAAAAAACCUAAAACCAUGCAACUAAAUUAGCUUGUUAAGAAACUCAUUCGGUCAAAUUAUCAGCAAAACGAUUCUUCUUAUUAUGAACAUGCUCAAAAAACACAGAAGGAAAGGGAUUACAAGCAGUGGAGAUAUCAUUAAAUUUAUCUUGCAAAUGCUACGAUCGCAUGAUGUUUUCAUCUUUAACCCAAGUAAUAAAAUACAAAUCCCGUACACGCAUAAUUAAGUCGAAUUAGUCAAAGUCAAUACAAAUCUCCUACAAAAACUAGAAAAAAAGUACGUGACACCAACUUGUUUUUAAUAUAAAUAUAAAUGCCAACAAGCAAGAACUUUAAAUAUACUAGCGUGGGUUUUGAUUAAUACAGAUACAUUAUCUUUAGAGUUUCCCAUGGCGCGUUUCCUCGUGCUCGACUUCUCUAUAUAAAGGGCACAUGCCACCCUUGAUUUGCACACCACUCAGAUAUCAGUUACCGUUGUUAACAACCAUGGCAACUCAAAGCUAUGUGUUGUGUAUUCUCAUUCUUGGCUUGGUAGCCAGUAAUAUUGUAGCCUCUACUACACCUAGCCAUGAGAUUCAUUCUUUUAAUCGUCAGAGUUUUCCACCAGGUUUCAUUUUUGGGGCAGCAUCAGCAGCUUACCAGGUCAUUUCUAGUCUUAGCUUGCCAUCAAUUAUAGUGAUUUUUUUUUUUUGAUAAUCAUCGAGAGAGUAUAUUAAGAAGACCAUAAAACCAAUAGCCAAAGAAAAAUACAAGUGAUAUGAAAAAAAAAAAAAACUGAUCUACUACAGUAAACAACAAAAAAACUACCUAAGAUUUCUUAUUACACCACAAUUAUAGUGAUUUUACUUCACGUUUAAUUAAUUCAUGAGAGCCCAUAGAUUUAUAAUUGAAUUGGCACCUCUAUUUCAGUUUCAAGAAAUCUCGAGUUCGAUUUUUUUUUUUGAUUACGUACUUCAUAGAAUGUUAAAUCCUACUAUGUCGUAUAUUUUUUCAGUACGAAGGUGCAGCUUUCCAAGAUGGCAAAGGACUAAGCAUAUGGGAUACAUUUACGCAUAAAUUUCCUGGUUUCUCUUUCUCUUAGAAAUUCUCCUUCAUGGUGUUUGUCGGAUAAACUUUUAGAUCGACUUGUAUUGUAUUAGGGACUUUUGUGUUUAGUAACAUGACUGGACUUGUUUUUUAAAAUAUUUUAAAGUUAUUUUUUAUUUUAAAAAUAUCAAAUUAUUAUUUUAGGUGUUUAUUGAUGAUUUUUAUAUUCUGAUAUAAAAAAUCUAAAAAAAGAUUAUUUUAAUAAAUUUUAAUUGAAAAAACCUUGUAAUAAUCAAGAUAUUUAUUGAUAUAUAUAACCUGUUUAGUAUUAAGGCAAUGAAAUUAAUAUAUGUACGGUGAAAUGCAGAAAAAAUAGCUGAUCGUAGCAAUGGAGACGUGGCUGAUGAUCAAUAUCAUCGUUACAAGGUAACUAAAUAAUUAUAGCUUAAUAAUUAAUAAAUAUAUUAAAAUAGCCAUUCAGAGAAUAAUCAAAGCAGAAGAAUGAAAAAUUAUUUGUUACAUCACCUGGAGAUUGCUAAAAACAGAGUAAAAAUUGAAAAAAAAAAACAUAAAAAAACCCAAAUAGCUAUUAAAUGACUAGCCACUAAAAAUUUAAACACAAUGAAUCUGAAUAACUCCAAUACACAGAUUAUUAGUGUUCGUAUACUUUUGAAUACUGUCUAAACUUCUAGUGAGGUUAUUGCCUAAAGUUAGUCCAGCUAGUAUUAGUGGUGUUUCUCUUUCAAAUUAUUUUCUUUAUAAUUAAUUAAAAGCACGUGGUUUUUUGGUACAAAUUAAAUAUAAGAUCUAGGGUUAAAACUUUGCAUAAUUAAUUUUUUUAAUAUAUUCAUACAUUAUGGUUCUUGAUAUCUGUUUGAUAAUUUUUUUAUGUUAUAAUAACUAAAUAUUUUUUUUAAAUGUUAAGCACAUUGAAAAUCAUAUAUAAUUGGGAAAAAACAAAUAUUUUUUAGUGAGAUGGGUGAAAUUCUUAUUUAUUUUCCAAUAUUAAAUGUCACAGGAAGAUGUUAAGAUCAUGAAAGACAUGGGCUUAGACUCCUACAGAUUUUCAAUCUCAUGGCCUAGAAUAUUGCCAAUUGCCAAGUAAGAUCUUCUGUAUAAACCACUCGCAAUAUCCAUCCACACUAUCAUCUCUUUCCUCUCUCUCCCUCCCUCCCUCCCUCCCUCUCUCUCUCUCUCUCUCUCUCUCUCUCUCUCUCUCUAUAUAUAUAUAUAUCCACAUGUAAUUUCUCUUUGCAAAAUUGUUAUGUUUUAACAUGGCAUCUUUUGUUUUUAAUUACUUCAGAAGGAAAGCUGAGUGGGGGAGUGAAUAAAGCAGGAAUCAAAUACUACAACAACCUCAUUAAUGAGCUCGUAGCAAAUGGUUAAUUAUGAUUCAAUCUUAUAAUAAUUAAUUGCAUGAUUUAAGUUUACAUUACACACCAUGUGGACAAGUAAAUUCAAUUUGUUCAUUGCUAUCAUGUUCAGGCUUAAAACCCCUGGUGACUCUUUUCCAUUGGGACACUCCUCAAGCCUUAGAUUCUGAGUAUGGGAGUUUUCUAAGUACUAGGAUUGUGUAAGUAACUUGAUUAAGUUUCUCUGUUUUUUUUUUUUUAAAGUUCUUUUGACUUAAUAAUCUGAGUUUCUCUGUAUAUGAUAGUGUAAAUAACCAAAACCUAUCACUGAUUAUCUUACAGGAAAGACUUCGAGGACUAUGUAGAUGUUUGCUUUAGAGAAUUUGGAGAUAGAGUUAAGCACUGGAUCACAUUGAAUGAACCAAAUAUCUUUACUUCGGGAGGCUAUGCUUCUGGUGGUGGUGCACCAAAUAGAUGUUCAGCUUGGCAGAAUUUAAAUUGUACUGGUGGAGAUUCAUCAACAGAACCAUAUGUGGUAGGACACAAUCUGAUUAAAUCUCAUGCUGCUGCUGUAAGAUUAUACAAGGCAAAAUACCAGGUACAACACUAAUUAGAAUCCUACGUUAUCAUGUUUUUAUUAUUAUUAAUGAGUGAAUUAAAUACUAGGAACAAAGCAAGGACAAACUUAAGACUACUUGUCAAUCAUUAAAAUCUUCAAACAAAGAAGGUUGACUAAUAACUUGGAUUAUAAACUCAAAAGAUCAAACUUAAUUUUCACAAAAAUGAUUUUCGGGCAUGAUAUAGGUUACCAAGUAUUUUGUGCUUGCAGGCAACUCAAAAGGGCAUAAUAGGGAUCACAGUAGCAUCCCACUGGUUUUUGCCAUACUCUAAUUCUACACAGGACAAAGCUGCUGCACAACGGUCCCUGGAUUUCUUGUAUGGAUGGUAUGUGUUGCGGUUGUUUUCUCUUGACUUAAGUCUCCCUAGAUUUAUUGCUCAUAGCUCUGUUGAGGUUACCACACAAUGGUUGUGGGAGGAACGUGAGGAAUUUAUCACAAGCUAGCUUUUGAGGGGGAGAUAGGUCCAAGAACAUCUAAGAAUUUAUCACAAGCUAGUAACAAGAAAGGUUUUGAUAAAAAAUUAUCACACAUCGAUUGUAGAAGGGGAUAAUGAAAAGUUCAAAAGUUCGAGGACAAGCUAGUUUUUGAGAAGGAGAUAGGCCCAAGACCACCUAACAAGUUCUUCUAUUAAGAAGUUCAGGGUUCUAACAUUUUUUAUUAUAAAAAAGAAAUAAGAAAUUUAAGAAAUCAUAUUUUAAUCCCAUUGUUGAAGAAAUGACCAAACUUUUUUAUGGUAUUUUUACAGGUACAUGGAUCCAGUAGUUUUCGGUGAUUAUCCAAGUUCAAUGAGGUCUCUUGUUGGGAAAAGAUUACCCAAAUUCACCAAGGAGGAAUCUGCAUUUAUAAAGGGAUCAUUUGAUUUUAUUGGGUUGAAUUACUACACUGCUUUCUAUGCGGAAAAUUUGCCUAUAUCAAAUAUUUCACAUCCAAGCUCCUUGACGGAUAGUCUUGCCACCAGUAGGAGUAAGCACAGAAUAAAAACUUAAAGACAAUUGAGGAUUGAUGCUUCUUUUGAGUAGAUUAAUUGCUAAAUGUUAACAAUCAUCUUUUGUUUUUCUUUCUUGUGAUUAUAGGUGAUCGUAAUGGUGUUCUUAUUGGUCCACAGGUGUGUAUCAACUAAAUAAAACAACGUUAAUUUACUUAUAAUCAAGUCGAAUUCUCUAAAGUCACUACUUAAUUCAAUAUUUUUCUUUAAUUAUAAAAUAAUGCAGGCAGGAUCAACUUGGCUCCAUGUUUAUCCUAAAGGAAUUCGUAAACUUUUGCUCUACACCAAGAAGAAAUACAAUGAUCCAGUUAUUUACAUCACUGAGAAUGGUGAUCAAUUAACUUCUUAAUUAUCAUAAUUAACUACUUGAUGUGCCAUUCCAAUCUUUGUUAAAAGCCCAUUUCGCACGAAAUUAAUGUAUCUCUUGUUUUAGGCGUAAGUGAGGUAAAUAAUGAAGGCAAAUUAACGCUUAAGCAACAACUAAAUGACACCAUGAGGAUCGAUUACUACCGUAGCCAUCUCUCUUUCUUGAGAUUAGCAAUGGCGUAAGUACUUCUUAAUUAAUAUUUGUGUCUCUUUACCAAGUUCAUAAUUAAUAUAAAAAAUUACAGUGUUAAUUAAAUUUUCUUUUUUUUAUAGUGAGGGUGUCAAGGUGAAGGGAUACUUCGCAUGGUCAUUUUUGGAUGACUUCGAAUGGAAUUCUGGUUACACCGUAAGAUUUGGUAUCAUCUACAUUGAUUAUAAAAAUGGAUUGAAGAGAAUCCCAAAACUCUCAGCUCGGUGGUUCAAGAACUUCCUCGAGAAAAAGAAGGCAUGAUCACUUGUUCUUUACAAGAAUGAGCAAUAAAAUUUCUCGCUGGUUUAAGAAGCUUGUGUGCUUCUUUUUUUUCCUUUAAUUUAUUUUCCAAGAAUAAGUUUUGUAGGCAGAGAGGCCUUUAGCUAUUCGCUGUAUUGUUGUCUCUGCUACAUCCUAUGACUUCAGAAUUCGAAUAAUUAGCUUAAUAGUUUUUCUUCAAUAAAAAAUUGAUGUUAUUUCCCGAACCCUACUUUUCCUUAUUUAUACACGUGCUCUUUCCAACUACACAAAUCUGUAUCUAUAAAGUGACAACUCCAACCUAGAAGAUUUCUGACUCAAAUCUUAAGUAGAAAGAGAUGUGAUUUAGUGAUGAAGGAAGAAUCACUCUCAUUAUAUAGCACAUGGCUCAUCAUAACUCCAAUAAACCAAAAAAGAAAAGAAAAUCAGAAUGGGCGGGACAACUACGUACUACUUCCUAUAGGUAUGAGUGUUCUUAGGAGGGAGCAUCUGUGAUGCUUAUGUUAAGGUAUGAGUGUUCAUAUAUUUUUUAUGGGUAGUAUUAUUGCAUGAAAUGUAUGUGAUAUUGGGAAUAGAGAUAAGAAGAGAGCUCUGAGACAAUCGGUGAGAUAUAAUAAACUUGAUUUAUUAUGUGAGGUGGAAACAAAAAAGGUGGUAGUUGAUGAGGAGAUUGUCAAUCCCAUUUGGAGUGGUAAUUCUAGAUUAUGGUAUGUUGUUCCUUCUGAGGAUUUAUCUCGGGGUUUGCUCUUUGUCUAGAAUUCAUCUGCUUUUAAUGUUCAUAAUGCUUCUAUCGCCAUGAAUGGCAGGGCAAUUCAUGUUCAAGGUAAUUUUGCACAAUAUGAUUUUGAUUGUGUGGAGACAGUGGUGUAUGUCCCUAAUUAGAAUUCUUUAAAGAAAGAUUUAAGAGCUAUCUUAAGUCAUUUAAAGGUAGUGUUUCUAAGCCAUGGUGUUUUAUAGAGGGUUUUAAUGAAACUAAAUAUCCUUCAUAUCAAAAGAGUGGGGCAAUUAUUAUUUUCAAUGUCACACGUGUGCGGCGUUGUAACGAUUAUUUUUUCAGAUCGGGAUGGUCAGGAAUGAUGUAGUAGAAAGGAAUUGUCCUUUAUCAAUAAAAAGAGAGAAUAAGAGUCGCCACAUAAUAUUUUGAUCUUAGAGUCUGGAUAAAAGAAUUGAUUGUGUAUAGAAAGGAUGUGUCACUCUUAAUACACCUUACCUGAGGUAAGCUACAUUAUUUGUUUGUCUGAUAUAAACUAAGAAAAUAUUAUGUUUUCUAAUUGUUGGUCUUGUUGUUACCCAUUUUUAGGUUCCCCACAAAAAAUAUAUAUAAAAAAAAAAUACAUAUAUAAAAAAAAAUAUUCGGAAGGAAUAAAAAAAUAGGAGUGAGAAAAGGAUGCUGAAACUCCCAUAAAAUAGCUAGGAAUUGGUUGAGGAGGUUCAGAAAUACAAGAAUUGAAAUUUGACAUUAUAAGAGUCUUGUUGACAAAGAAAAUUCAAGUUGAGAAAAAAAGUCUAAAAUCAGAUGUUUAUAGACUCAAUUAAAUUUUAUCUAAGGUUUAAUUGAAUUUAUGGAGGGUUUGAUUGCAAGAAAAAUAGAUUUUUAAGUCAAUUUAGGCUUUUAUGGGAUGAAAUUAAAGUUCUGGGGUCCAAAUCAGGGGCUUAAUUGCAUAGUUAUUGAAGUUUGAUGGCCAAUUAGGGAUUUAAUUGAAACAAUCCGAAGCCAAGGACCAAACCAGAAAAGACGCUAAAAUCAAAGGAUCCAAUUAAAACUUUUCCGGGGGGGCUUGAUUACAAAAUAGUAAAAACAUCCAAGGACCAAAUCAGAAAUAUCAUUUUGAAAUUGAAACGGCGCCGUUGCAUUAAGAAUUACUGCACACUGCUCACUGUCUUCAAGCAACGGUUUCUGCGGUAAAAACGGGAGCGGUGGAGCUGCAAUCAAGGGCAUGUCUCGCGGCUGAUUUCCUCACCACCAUAAUGCAACCAUAUGCCUGCCAUAACGCAUGCAUCCUCUGGCUAUAAAAGCCAGAGGAGGGACCAGGCAGAAAAGGGGGGGGGGGGAAGGAGAGGAGACAGCAGAAAAAGAAAACAGUGGGGGAAAAAGAGAGGAAAACAGGGAGAAGAGGGAGAAUAAAAGCAGAGGGAGACGGGAGGAAGAGGGGCAACAGACGGGAAAGAAAAGAAAGGGGGAGAGCAGGAGAAGCAGAAGAACCCGAAGGGGGGAAAACGGAGGAGAAAAAGACAGAAAGAGGGGAAUGUAAGGGGGAAAAACAGAGAUGAGCUGGGAAGAGAGGAGGCAGAGAGUGAGCAGAACAUGAGAUAAAAACAGAGAAGAGUAACAGAAGAGAUCAAAUUAAAGGGCGAUAGAGCAGAACCGGAGAAGAACUAAGAAAAGAAACAGAGAGAAGGAGAGAACCAGACGCAGAGAGAGGAGAAGACACGCUCAGGGAGGCAUCAUAGCUUAUUCCCAGAAUCCCAGCGACAAGCUCAGGAGGGAUUUCUCCCAACAGCGGCUGCGAACCAGGUAAGCUUUUCAUUCCUUCUCCUUCCGUUUAUAAUUGCACAAACACUGUGCAGGUGCAAUUUAAUUACAUUUUGGCUGUAGUAGGCGUGCGUGAAUUGUUCACGCACGCUUGCGUUUAAAAGGCAGUCGGGUCACUGGCCCAAGCCAGUGACCCGGCUAGGCCUGCUGGGUCCAGCCCAGCCACAUGGCCGGGCUGGGCCCAGCUCGAAAAAAAAAUUUCAAAAAUUAUUUCAAAAAAAUCUGUGAUUUUCCGCAAAUUUUUUACUUCAUUUUGAUCAAUAUUGCUUUGUAUUUUUAUACUGUAAAGAUACAAAUCCGGUAUUGAAAUACUUGGUUUUCGUCAAAAUAUUGAAAAAAGCAAAAAUAUAUUUUUAUGCAUACGGCCAAGUCUCUCUAAAAAAAAAUUAAAAAAAAAUCAUAUUUUAUCUUCAUAAAAAAAAAGGGUUUUAGCAUGCAUUUUGGCUUUAAUAACCAGUUUAUUAAAGUCACGAGAACCGGCCAAUAUUUCAAAAAUUUCAAAAAAAUUAUUUUGUUUUCUUUUAAUAUCUGGGGUUACGACCUUAUACGUAAGACAUAUUCCGGAUAUAAAAUUCUUUUAUUGAUGUUAGAACGGUUAGGUUUUACCCGAUAAGACAAGGACCUCCUUACCGAAGAGAACUUUUCUUAGAACAUAGACGGACCAAUAACUAGAAAACACGACAAGACCUUAGAUUUUAUCAGACAAUAAAACAAUGCAGCCUACCUUAGGUAGGGUGUAUUUGGGGUGCUAAUACCUUCCCUUUACGCAACCAGUCCCCGUACCCGAUCUCUGAUACCAGUUAGGGUUUCUAGUGACCAAAAUACUAGGUGGUGACUCCCAUUCCAUUUUUCCACUAAUAAAAGAUAAGAAUUUCUUGUCUCCCCACAUUUGCCACAUUAAUACAAAAUUUUUGAGGUGAAUGUUUUCGCCGCGACGCCGCACACGUGCGACAGGUCUGUUCAAGGUCGAAGAAAAGUCCUCCUCAGUAAGAAGAUCCUUAUCUUAUCAGGUUAAAAACCUAAUUGUUCUAAUGCUAAUAUAAAAAUAAAAUAAACUAUUUUUUUAUUUAAUAUCGUAAAUACAUCUUACGUAUAAGUUCAUAAUCCUAGAUACUAAUAGAAAACAAAAUAUUUUUUUUGGUAUUUUUGAAUUUAAUAUAGGAAAUACGUCUUAUAUAUAAAUUUGCAAUCCUAUAUCUUAAAAAUAAAAAAAAAUAAUUUUUUGUUAUUUUUGAAAUGUAGGCCAUGUUCUAAUGGCUUUAAUAAACUAGUUAUCAAAUCCAAAAAAAUGCAUGCGAAAAUAAAAGACUAUUUUUUGUGUUUUUAUAAUAUGAUAAAUUAUGCAGAUAUAAUUUAUUUUUGGGAGACUUGACUAUAUGCAAUUUAAAUACAAAAUAGUAUUUUUUAAAAGAAAGAUUUUUGUUGUUAUUUUUAUGGAAGGUGUCGUAUGUGUGCGGCGUUGCGGUUAUUGCCCUCCUGAUCAGGAAUGGUCGAGAAUGGUGUGAGAAGAAAGGAUAAGGAAUUCUUGUCUUUUAUUAGUAGAAAGAGGGAAUGAGAGUCGUCAUCUAGUAUUUUGGUCACUAGGAAUCCUAACUGGUCUCAGAGUAUGAGAAAAGUGACUGAUUGCAUAAAGAGAAGGUAUUAGCACCCCUAAUACGCCUUACAUGAGGUAAGCUACAUUGUUUAUCUGUUUGAUAUAAUUAAAUUAUUGAUGUAUUUUCUAAUCAUUGGUCUGUCUAAGGUUUAAGAAAAAAUUUCUUCAAUAAGGAGAUCCUUAUCUUAUAAGGUUAAAAAUCUAACUGUUCUAAUGUCAAUAUAAAAAUAAACAAACUAUAUUUUCAUUUAAUAUCAAGAAUACAUCUUAUGUAUAAGUUCUUAAUCUCGGAUACUAACAGAAAACAAAAUAAUUUUUUGGUAUUUUUGAAAUAUAGACCUAGUUCUCAUGGCUAUAAUAAACUGGUUAUUAAAUCCCAAAAUGCAUGCAAAUUUGUAUUUUUGAGUUUUUGUAUGGAAAUACAAUAUGCUUUUAUAUAUAUAUAUUUGAGAGACUUGGCCAUAUGCUCACCCAUAAAACAAAAUUUUGUAUUUUUUUUAAGUGAGAAAAAUUCCAGAGAAGUUUUUUGGUAUUUCUUGAAAUUUCAGCGAAAAACAGAUACUUCAAUAUCGGGUUAGUAUUUUACAAUAUAAGUCUAUAGCCCCGAUAUGAAAUAUAAAAUUAAGGAAAACAUUCGAGGGAUCCACAAAUAGAUUUAAAAUGGUCCAUGAAUUUUUUUGGAAAUUUCUAGGUUUUUUUAGGGUUUGUGUGGCCAGAUCUUAAGAUAAAGGCAAGUUUAAAACUAAAGAAAAAACAUAAGGGUGUGUAUGCUAAACACAUCCUUAGCCUAGGGGCUGGGUUGGUUGGGCUUGAGGCCCAAACCCGACCCAGCUAAUUGGGCCUAUCGAAGGCCUAACAAAACCUUAUUUUUUUAGGGGUGGGGAUGGACCUAGCCCAGCCCAAAAUACCGAUUAACUAGUUACUGUGCUGAACACAGUAAUCAAUUAAUUAAAAUUAACUUGUUGUAGAACGUGAAUUAAUCACGUUCUGCAUGCAAGCAAAAGGAAGCAAAAGACAAAUGCAGACUUAACAGAAGGAAGAAGAAGAUUACCUGGAAUGAGAGGUUGAUGGUCACUGACACUGGUUGUUGUUACCCAUUUUGGAUUCCCACAAAAAAUGAGAAGAUACAAAAAAUAUAUAUAUCAAAAAAAUAUUCAGAAGAAAUCUAAAAAAUAAUAGGAGCGAGAAAAAGGAUGCUGAAAUGCCAAAUAAUGGCCAAAAAUUGGUUGAGGAUGUUCAAAAAUACAAAAGGUUGAAAUUUAACAGUAUAUCGUCGGCUGAUAAGAGCCCUAUUGACAAAGAAAAUUCAAUUUUGAAAAACAUAUAUUCAAAAUCAGAUGUUUAUGGACUUCAUUAAAUUUUAUCUAAGGUUUAAUUGAAUUUAUAGAGGGUUUGAUUGCAAGAAAAAUUGAUUUUAAAGUCAAUUUGGGCUUUUGUUGGAAGAAAUUAAAGUUCUAGGGUCAAAUUAUAAUUUUUAAGAGUUGAUUUAGUCAAAUCAGGGGCUUAAUUGCAUGUUUAUUGAAGUUUGAUGGCCAAUUAGGGACUUGAUUGACGCAAUCCAAAACCAAGGACUAAACCGGAAAAGGUGCAUAAAAAGAGAAGCUGAAAUUGACCAAAUCAAGAGCUAAAUUGAAAAAAUUAAAAGUUUAUUGAUCAAUUGAGGGUCAAAUCGCAUGAAUCUAGAACCAAGAACUGUCUUGCAAAUAGCACUAAAAUCAAGAAAUUCAAUUACAAUUUAUCAGGUGGCUUGAUUACAAAAUUGCAAAAAAAAAUCAGAAAUGUUCAUUUUGAAUGUUAAAAUGGUGCCGUUGUCUUGAACACUAUUCACUAUCUCCUUCAGAACCCGUUUUGGUAGUAAAGGCUGAGAACCAUUUCAGCAACAAAAGCCGCAGAUUGCUUCAAUUAUGGGGAACGUUUCACAACUGAUAUCCCUCGCCACCAUGAUGCACGCUGACCGUUACUAUGUUCCUGUAAUAACGCAUGCAUCCUCUAGCUAUAAAAGCCAGAGGAGGGACCAAACACAUUGAAGGGGAAAGGGAGGACAGAAGAGAAAAAGAGAGAGGGGGAAUAGAGGAGAACAGAAGGGAAAAGAAAGAAAAGCUAAGAGAUAAAGAGAGAGGAGAGUGAACGAACCACAAUCAGAAGGCAGGAUGAAGAAGAAGUAAAUACAGAGAAGCCGAAGCAGCGUCCUCUGCGGACCACCGCCAGUCUUUCUCUUCCCUGCCACCAGCAGCAUCUACAUGAAGCCACUGCAGAGAGGUAGGAACACCGUUGACAGGGGGAACAAAAAACAAAGGAAGAAGACAGCGUAGCGAAGCAGAGGAGAGAAGACGGAGAAUCAACGUCUUCCACACAGCCGACUGCCGCAACACCAACGCCACUGUGAGGCACCAGCACCGUAAACGACAGCGCCUCCAUUCCAGGUAAUUCUCUUCCCCUUGUCUUAGUUUCCCAUUUCAUCUUCUUGCAUGCAAAACGUGCACAGUGCACGUUUCUGCAAGCAAGAAGAAAUAAUUACCCUGUUACUGUGCAUGAGCACAGUAACUGGGUAAUUGUAUUUGGGGCUGGUUACACAGUAACCAGUCCGGGUUGACUCAGCCCAGUCUAUGUGGUGGUUUGCAUUUUAUUGGGCUAAUCAGUGCCCAGUUUCUUUUUGGGCCGGGUCUGGCCCAUUCAAAAAAAAAUUAAAAAUUAUUUCAAAAAAAUCCGUGAUUUUUCGCAAAUUGUUUUACUAAAUAUUGCUUAGCACUGAUUUGUAUUUUUAUACCGUAAAGAUACAAAUCAAGUAUUAAAAUAUCUGGUUUUCGUCAAAACAUUACAAAAUAAAAAAAAUGUGUUUUGCUUUCUUACAUAUGCCCAGUUUCUCAAAGAUAAAAAUAUAAAAAAUCAUAUUGUAUUCUCAUAAAAAAAAGGGGUUUUAGCAUGCAUUUUGGCUUUAAUAACCAGUUUAUUAAAGUCAUGAGAACUAGGCUAAGAUUUCAAAAAUAACAAAAAAAAAUAUUUUUUUUUCUUUUAAUAUUAAGGACUACGCGCUUAUACAUAAGGCGUAUUCUUGAUAUUAAAAAGGUAGUGCUUUUAUUAAUGUUAGAACGUUUUGGUUUAACCUGAUAAGAUAAGGAUCUCCUUACCAAGGAUGACUUUUCUUAAACCAUAGACGGACCAACAACUAGAAAACACGACAAGACCUUAGAUUUUAUCAGACAAUUAAACAAUGCAGCCUACCUUAGGUAGGGCGUAUUUGAGGUGCUAAUAUCUUCCCUUUAUGCAACCAGUCCCCGUACCUGCUCUCCAAGACCAGUUAGGGUUCCUAGUGACCAAAAUAUUAGGUGGCGACUCCCAUUCCAUUAUGUCCAUCCACUAAUAAAAGACAAGAAAUCCUUGUCUACCCCAUUUUUCCUGAUUUUACCAGGAUACCAAUAUUCUAGGAUUUGAGAGUGGAUUUUUCGCUACGACACCGCAUACGUGUGACACUGGCGAUGGCUCACGAUGGCGUUGCCUGCGGUGGCAACUGGGAGGAAUUAGUUGCUGCUGUUAGUGGAAGCAAAACUAGUAUCGACGAUCGUUGGAGGGUGUCUGACGCUGCCAAAACAAUGAAGGAGAGAAGCUGGUUUUAUAGCUAGGGGGAGGACAUUGUUCUUCUCUAGGCAGAGCCAAGGGCUUCUAUUUUCUUUUCUUUCUUUUUAAUUUUUUUUGCUCUCUUCUUUGUUUUCUUUUUUGCUUCUUCCUUCUUUUCUCUGUUUCUUUUUUUUUGUCCUCUCCCCCCCACCCUGGUGAGGGGGGGUAUUUAUAUAUAGGGGCAAGAGGGAGCGGGAGCUGACCACCCUAUUCUUGUCCAAAGCACACCGAAAGGUAGGGUGGCUGGGUGGUCACUUUACAGCUGCUUGAAGGCCACUCAAAAGACCUAUUUCUCUACUCCUUUCGAGCAGGCCAUAAGAGGGACGUGAGUUGUGUCGUGGAAUGGAGACAUGGAGGAGAGAGAGAGGGAGCUGAAGCAUGCUGUAAAGGAGGGAAGAAAAACCAUCCUCCCCGCCUGUAAAACCAGUGCAGGGGAAGAAGAUGGUACAUAGUACCAUCAAAACGGUGUUGUUUCAUUUUUUUUAUAUCAAUAAACAAAACGAUGUCGUUUCACACAAAACAUGUCAUUUCAUUUAAAUGAAACGACGCCAUUUUGGCGUUUUAAAAAUAACCUUAGAAGUCUUCGUCUCUAAAUCAAUCCUCAAUUUUUAAUUUAUUCAAUUAAGUUCUUAAUUGAGAUUUUAAUUUUAAGAAUCAGUUCAAUUUCAUCCCUUCCAACUUAAAUGUCAGCCCUAAAGUUGGCCGCCUUUUUCAUUUUGGUCAUUGGUUUUGAAUUUGUGCAUUUUGAUCCUUAAUUAAUGAACAAACUUUUAAUUUCUUUAAUUUGACCCUGAUUCGGUCAAUUUCAAUCCCUACAUUCAUGUGCUUUUCUAGUUUGGUCCUUGGUUUUGGAUUUUUUGAUCAAGUCCUUAAUUGCCUAUCGAACUUCAAUAUUUAUGCAAUUAAGCCCCUGAUUUGACCAAAGUAACUCUUACAAAUUGCAAUUCGACCCUUAAACUUUAAUUUCUUCUAAUUAAAGCCUAAAUUGACUUAAAAAAUCAUUGUUUCUUGCAAUAAAGCCCUCUAUAAAUUCAAUUAAACCUUCAACAAAAUCUAACUGAGUCCUUAAAUAUCCAAUUUUGAAUUUCUUUUCCUCAAAUUAAAUUUUCUUUGCCAUUAUGGUCUUCAUUAGUCGAAAAUAUACUAUCAAAUUUCAAUCUUCAUAUUUUUGAUCCUCCUCAACCAAUCUUUGACUAUUUUCUGGGCGUUUCGAUAUCCUCUUCUCAAUGAUAUAUUUUUUUUGGUUUUCUUCUAAUAAUUCUUUAUUUUCUCUUUUUCCCCUCUUUCUUUUUGUGUAGGGACCCCAAAAAAAAGGUAAUAAUAGAAGGGAAUCGAUUCGUUUAAUAUUAAAAAAGCAUCUCAUGUGUAGGUCAUAAUUCUAAAUAUUAAAUAUUAGAGGGGUAAAAAAGGUUGGGAAAUCAAAAUUGAUUGCAAAAUUGUCUUCCGAACAUUUAAAAAUUAUUAAAAACUAACGAAGGAUGUAUUUGGCAAGACGCAAAUAAAAUGUUUUUAUCAUGUCCAUUUUAACCACGAUAUCAAUUCAAAACAAAUUAUCAUUCAUCAACCCAAACAACGCCAAACAUCCACACAUAGUUUAUUAACGUCACCUAUUUCGUUCAAAUUUCAUGCUAAUACAAAAAAUCAACACUGAUCCCAACACAACUCUUGUGCCAGUAUUUAAUGUCCACAAAGCAAUCACAACCCCAAAAAAUAAACCCAUAAUUCAACUCAAAUAAUCAAAUUAUUUCAAAAAUCCAAACACAAAUGAAACCAAAUUAAUAGUCCAAACAAUCCAAAUAUUAUACAAAAUAGUAAGCAUUUGGUUCCAAAAAAUCACAAUGUUAUAGCAAUUUGUCCAAAAAAUAAUUAGAGAUCAUGAAUCGACCUUUCGAGGUGUUCAAAAUAUCGAAGGUAUACUAAAAUAUAUACUGGAAGACUGCUGGAAUAGUGGAGACACAUGUACCACUUGCCACCAACACUGUUGGCAUGUGGAUUCACGCACAGCCGCUGCUAGAGGAGAUGAACUGAUAGAUCCGAUACUCCUCUUCCCCCUCUUUGUUCCUACACUAAUGGUGAGACAAACAAACAUACAAACAUACGAGGAAAGAGAUCUACUUGGUUAAAGGUUUAGUCCUCUUCUUUUUUCUUCUUCUCUUCUUCCCUUUCUUUAUUUUGUGAUGAUUGGUGUAAAGAAAAUAGGUUAGGGUGUUUUUUUUUUUGAGUGGGGAAAGAAUGUGAGAAAGAUGGUUUUUUGGCUUUUCUUUAUUUUUUUGGGUCUCCCCUUUCCCCUCUCUCGUGUGUGUGUGUGUGUGUAACCACCUAUUUAUAUGUAUAAUAUUUUGUGGCUUGAAGGCAAAGCAAAUCAUUGGAUUUCAAGAAUAAAUCUCUACCACUCAUUUGUUAACUUGAAAGCAAAGCAAAGAAAAAAUAACCCUGGGAUUAAAAGAAUUGAUUGUGGACCAUUUGAUUAGAAAUUGAGUUGCUUGGUGAGAGAGUUGUUAAUUUUAGAAUUGAUCC
Molecule: long non-coding RNA, 18047 nt
Filed under: Populus trichocarpa (black cottonwood)
Lineage: Eukaryota; Viridiplantae; Streptophyta; Magnoliopsida; Malpighiales; Salicaceae
Description: long non-coding RNA (PTRI_LNC000017)
Source: RNAcentral